This 886-nucleotide ribosomal RNA is filed under the name uncultured bacterium. Its description in RNAcentral is "bacterial SSU rRNA". It matches the Rfam family "Bacterial small subunit ribosomal RNA", at positions 38 to 917 of the family's 1533-position model. The record is from RNAcentral.
GGCAUCGACGCUUACCAUGCAAGUCGAGGGGCAGCAUUAUUUUAGCUUGCUAAGAUAGAUGGCGACCGGCGCACGGGUGCGUAACGCGUAUGCAACCUGCCUGUAAUUAGGGAAUAACCCGGUGAAAGUCGGACUAAUACCCUAUAUUCUUCUUUUUCCGCAUGGAGAAGGACGGAAAGAUUUAUUGAUUACAGAUGGGCAUGCGUCCCAUUAGCUAGUUGGUAAGGUAACGGCUUACCAAGGCAACGAUGGGUAGGGGGACUGAGAGGUUGACCCCCCACACUGGUACUGAGACACGGACCAGACUCCUACGGGAGGCAGCAGUGAGGAAUAUUGGUCAAUGGGCGAGAGCCUGAACCAGCCAAGUCGCGUGAAGGAGGACGGUUCUAUGGAUUGUAAACUUCUUUUGUAGAGGAAUAAUGGCAGCUACGUGUAGCUGAGAUGCAUGUACUCUACGAAUAAGUAUCGGCUAACUCCGUGCCAGCAGCCGCGGUAAUACGGAGGAUACGAGCGUUAUCCGGAAUUAUUGGGUUUAAAGGGUGCGUAGGUGGCGUAUUAAGUCAGUGGUGAAAAGCUGCAGCUCAACUGUAGUCUUGCCGUUGAAACUGAUAUGCUAGAGAGGAGACGAGGUAUGCGGAAUGUGUGGUGUAGCGGUGAAAUGCAUAGAUAUCACACAGAACGCCGAUUGCGAAGGCAGCGUACCAGGCUCCGUCUGACACUGAAGCACGAAAGCGUGGGGAUCAAACAGGAUUAGAUACCCUGGUAGUCCACGCAGUAAACGAUGAAUACUAGAUUUUUGCGAUAUAGUGUAAGAGUCUAAGCGAAAGCGAUAAGUAUUCCACCUGGGGAGUACGCCGGCACGGUGAAACUCAGAGGAAUUGACGGA